RNAcentral lists this ribosomal RNA (496 nucleotides) under uncultured bacterium. RNAcentral's name for it is "bacterial SSU rRNA". It matches the Rfam family "Bacterial small subunit ribosomal RNA", at positions 29 to 518 of the family's 1533-position model. The record is from RNAcentral.
AUGAACGCUAGCGACGGGCCUAACACAUGCAAGUCGAGGGGCAGCACAAGGAGCAAUCUGAGGUGGCGACCGGCGCACGGGUGAGUAACACGUAUGCAACCUGCCUGUAAGCGGGGAAUAACCCGUUGAAAGACGGACUAAUACCGCAUAAUGCUAAAUUACUGCAUGGUAAUUUAUUUAAACAUUUAUGGCUUACAGAUGGGCAUGCGCAUGAUUAGCUAGUUGGAGAGGUAACGGCUCCCCAAGGCAACGAUCAUUAGGGGUUCUGAGAGGAAGGUCCCCCACACUGGUACUGAGACACGGACCAGACUCCUACGGGAGGCAGCAGUGAGGAAUAUUGGUCAAUGGACGAGAGUCUGAACCAGCCAAGUCGCGUGCAGGAAGAAUGUCCUUAAUGGAUUGUAAACUGCUUUUGCAGGGGAAUAAAGUGCAUCACGUGUGAUGUUUUGUAUGUACUCUGCGAAUAAGGAUCGGCUAACUCCGUGCCAGCCGCAGC